RNAcentral lists this ribosomal RNA (460 nucleotides) under uncultured bacterium. RNAcentral describes it as "partial 16S ribosomal RNA". It matches the Rfam family "Bacterial small subunit ribosomal RNA", at positions 338 to 795 of the family's 1533-position model. The record is from RNAcentral.
CCUACGGGGGGCAGCAGUGAGGAAUAUUGGUCAAUGGACGAGAGUCUGAACCAGCCAAGUAGCGUGAAGGGUGACUGCCCUAUGGGUUGUAAACUUCUUUUAUAUGGGAAUAAAAUGUUCCACGUGUGGGAUUUUGUAUGUACCAUAUGAAUAAGGAUCGGCUAACUCCGUGCCAGCAGCCGCGGUAAUACGGAGGAUCCGAGCGUUAUCCGGAUUUAUUGGGUUUAAAGGGAGCGUAGGUGGAUUGUUAAGUCAGUUGUGAAAGUUUGCGGCUCAACCGUAAAAUUGCAGUUGAAACUGGCAGUCUUGAGUACAGUAGAGGUGGGCGGAAUUCGUGGUGUAGCGGUGAAAUGCUUAGAUAUCACGAAGAACUCCGAUUGCGAAGGCAGUUCACUGGACUGCAACUGACACUGAGGCUCGAAAGUGUGGGUAUCAAACAGGAUUAGAUACCCGGGUAGUC